GUCGCGAUCGUGUUCCUGAAAACCACCUCAGGCGGUUCGAACCCGCGGCGUUUCACCGAAUCGAAAACGUUUCUCCAGAACGCAGCCGCGGUUUUGGCUCCUUUCGCGAAUGCUCUGAGGUUAGACCAGUGGACCCCAUCGUGGAGUCCCGAGUUAACGAUCAUUACGUCCGGAACACCUUUUUCUUCCGAGAAGUAGCUUUUAAGCAGCUCUCUGAAGCCGUGGUCUCUAAGCGAGUCGAGACCUUGAUAGUUUUGCGUCUCGUUCCAAUGCCCGUUGAAGAUGCUCGUGAUCCUAACGGUCUCUGACGAGUUCUUCGGGUUAGAGAACUUCAAAUCAAACCUCCUCGGGACAGCGCCGAUCUCGGGAUGGCCCAAGACGAAGUUCAGCAAGUUUCUAAUCGUGUCCACGUGGUUCGAGUCUCCCCAGAAGAAGAUCCAUUUAUUCUUCAAGCAGCUCCAAGCCGAGUCCCCGGAAAAGAGUUUAAACAAGCAGUGGCUCGAGUAGACCCAACCGUUGCUCUCUAACUCCGCCAACGCUCCGUCGCACCACGGUUUCCGGCAAGGGAAAUCAUCAUCCAGGCAACGGUAACGUCCGUCAUUGCGGAUUUCGCAUUCCUCGUUCUUGCCGAGCCUUGUCCACCGCCCCGACCAGACGUCCCUAGCGAAGUCUGACCCUUUGCUUCUGGCUUGGUCUCUUUCUGCAGGUGAUGCUUGUCCUCUUUGAGUUUGUUGUGGCUUCCAUCUUGUCCUUCAUUUUGCUGUUCACAGCUUAUGCUGUUUGCGGCCUGUUCUUGUAUUCCGGAUUAGGUGGGCCUCUCUCCUAGUUGUUUGUUCAGAUCGUGCGAAGAUAUGUUGUGUUUGUCACUUCAUACCUAGGCGUUCUAUGGUCAUCGUAGAUCAAGUCGUUUCCGGGAAUGUUAGCAAGAUUCUUUGCUUGUCGGAUUAUGAAGGUUCUGUUACUGGGUCCUUGUGGUGUUUCCUCAGAGUUCUAGGAGGAGGUGGUUUAGCGGUGGUCUGACCGAGGGUAUUCCCAGUAAGCACGUGUCAGAGGCCCUUUCGGACAGUCUCCAUGUUAUUGUUAGACUUAUGUUGGAAGUUUGGAAGAUUAAUCACUUGUGUUAAGGUUGUAAUAUUUCUUAAUCUUGUAUGUUGCCCCCUUGUGGGUUCUAGUGCCCGGAGAUAUCUCUAUGUUCUGCCGGUUUAGCUAACCACAAAAGGGUUUUGUAUACGUUGGUUUCUGUUGGUUUGUGUAGAUCACAAUUUUGCUAUCAAUAAAAUCAGUUGACGGAAAAAAAAAGAUCGACAAACAAAUCAUUACAGUCUAACUGUCGUCUAGACGAUUUGUAGUGUACUUCAAAUGUGCUAACAUAUAAUUUAUUCUAUAUUCAGAAGUGUACACAACAUCAAAAACAAAAGAAUCGUGAUUCCUAACUCUACUUCUAACCAAACUAAACAUCACUCUUACUAUUUUAUCUCACACACAAUGCAUUUAACAAGACAUGAACAAGCAUCAGAUCAACAAAGUACUGAUGCCCAAUCUCGCCGUCUCUCCACCGCAUCUUCGCCGGAGCUCUCCCGUAAUGAACCCCAUCGUUACACCGGUUAUCAUAAUGCCACGGAUACGUCAUGUCAAAGUUAUCAACCACACCCGACACCAACCCAAACUCCUUCAUCUUCUCCAAAAACACACCAUUGAACACUUCCAUCUUGCUCGGGUUAAACGCCAGCUCCCUCGCGUAACCCCCCGUCGCGAUCGUGUUCCUGAAAACCACCUCAGGCGGUUCGAACCCGCGGCGUUUCACCGAAUCGAAAACGUUUCUCCAGAACGCAGCCGCGGUUUUGGCUCCUUUCGCGAAUGCUCUGAGGUUAGACCAGUGGACCCCAUCGUGGAGUCCCGAGUUAACGAUCAUUACGUCCGGAACACCUUUUUCUUCCGAGAAGUAGCUUUUAAGCAGCUCUCUGAAGCCGUGGUCUCUAAGCGAG
This 1985-nucleotide long non-coding RNA is filed under the name Brassica napus (rape). RNAcentral's name for it is "long non-coding RNA (BNAP_LNC023603)". The record is from RNAcentral. Lineage: Eukaryota; Viridiplantae; Streptophyta; Magnoliopsida; Brassicales; Brassicaceae.